CCUACGGGAGGCACCAGUGGGGAAUAUUGGACAAUGGGCGAAAGCCUGAUCCAGCAAUGCCGCGUGUGUGAAGAAGGUCUUCGGAUCGUAAAGCACUCUCGACGGGGACGAUGAUGACGGUACCCGUAGAAGAAGCCCCGGCUAACUGCGCGCCAGCAGCCGCGGUAAUACGAAGGGGGCUAGCGUUGCUCGGAAUGACUGGGCGUAAAGGGCGCGUAGGCGGUUUAUGCAGUCAGAUGUGAAAUCCCCGGGCUUAACCUGGGAACUGCAUUUGAGACGCAUAGACUAGAGGUCGAGAGAGGGUUGUGGAAUUCCCAGUGUAGAGGUGAAAUUCGUAGAUAUUGGGAAGAACACCGGUGGCGAAGGCGGCAACCUGGCUCGAUACUGACGCUGAGGCGCGAAAGCGUGGGGAGCAAACAGGAUUAGAUACCCGCGUAGUC
Molecule: ribosomal RNA, 440 nt
Filed under: uncultured bacterium
Lineage: Bacteria
Description: bacterial SSU rRNA
Rfam family: Bacterial small subunit ribosomal RNA
Source: RNAcentral